GCUGAUGGUGUGGAUCAAACUGUUCCGGGGAGCCUCACAGACUCAGCGUUGGGAGAUGUUCAGCAAUCGCAAGUUUUCAGCUUUAACAAUAGCUCCUUUCGGCACUACGCUACUGUGGCAGUUGUCAGAUAGACGUUACGCGAUUGUGUGCAACUCUCAGUUCCACCCUUUCUUCAUAGUGUUGUUUGGGUAAGCAGUGAUGUGACUGCGGGGCCGGUGUCUGAGCGAAUGACGCAAGAUCCUGUGUGACAGGAGGCUGGCCCUCUCUGUAAACAUUCAUUUGCCAGGAACAAAACUGCAACGCUGGGCACCUUGCAGACUUUUGAAUCCCUUUUAUCUCUCAAACGGUUCAGACAGCCUUAGACGCUAUAUUCUAAUAACAUGAGGCAUACGCAGCUGGUUGAGGGGGAACUUUCUUUUGUCGGAUAGCUCUCUACUCUGUCGUGUGCAUCACCCGACGGCAAGAGUGUGGAAUUCAUCGAGCCAGUCCACCAAAUGAGCGUCUGACGUAUUUGGCCCCACUGGGCGAAUCAACGCGGCGGCAUGGCGACGGGACGCUGGUAUUUUUCUUCAUUUCCUUUCAGGAAGUUUAACAUGCAGCACGCGGCCGCAAACUCCUGCAUUCAAGCAGAAGGGACCCCACGUCGAUGGUUGUAUGCAGCCCUCCUCCUUGCAGCGCAUGCACUCGGUAUCGACUUGUUUUAAACAGUCAAAACGAAACCACGUACAGCUGCAAAUGUCCAUAGCAACGUCCUGUCGAUAGUCAGGUCCUCGGCUGGUGCCUUCUACCCACCAGAACUACACAGACCCGGCUGCGAAUUCAUGCCUUCGGUGAAAACUCCCUGACACGAGGCAGCAUUCUUUUCUGAGUCGAUAGUAGGGGUGGGAUAAUUUGCGUCAAAAAGCAAUGCCGCUUUCACAGCUGGUCGACCUUGUCGAUAGCAGCUUACUAAGCAAUCUCUCCAAGUUGACACCGGUGGAAAUUACCAACGCAGAAGAAACGUAGGCCGAUGACAAAGAUCUGCACGCCCCACGUCCAGUCCGACAGAAUACUGGAGGGCAUCUCCGAGCUGAAUUCGGUGAAAACCAGAAUCAGUUCUCCGGAGGCUGAGAAAACAGAACGUCGGGAGAGUGCAUGCGUUCGAGUUUUCGCUGAUACCAGGAAAUCAGGCACAACAACAACUUCGGUGCUUCCGGCUGUUCCUCGAAGAAGUCAUGCCUACUUGAGUCUGGUAGGGGUUUUCUCGAGCGCAUCCGCGGUUUAGAUGCGCAUCAUUAGUAACCAAGUGACACAAAACUCAGUAUUAGUCAUAUCUCUCGUUAUAUGCCUUUGACUCCUGAGCAAACGCGU
RNAcentral lists this long non-coding RNA (1351 nucleotides) under Toxoplasma gondii VEG. Lineage: Eukaryota; Apicomplexa; Conoidasida; Eucoccidiorida; Sarcocystidae. The record is from RNAcentral.